GUUGCGCACGCGCCGGAGGUCGCGUCCCUUGAGUGUGCGUCCGGCGCCUUCCAUGACCGACGCCGCCGCCGCAGCGCGCCGCGCGGCCAUCUCGUGCGGCGGCACCACGGGCUCGCCGUCGUCGUCCUCGUCGUCCGCGGCCUGCAGCUCCGCUUCGCGGCGGCGCCUGUCCGCGGCCGUCAUCGCCUUGGGCCAGGCCGGCACGGCGACGGGGGCCGACUGGUGGCACGGGCGCGGGGCGUGCUGCUUCUCCGGGCGCGCGGCGGCCGGGACGGGCGCGGUGGGCGCGUGGUGGUCGUCGGCGUCGGCGAGGAGCGCGGACAGCCCCAUGCUGCCGGCGGGGAAGUGGCGGGACGAGGCGGAAAUCGGCCUCCCGAGGCUGGCGGUCGGGGACGCGGUCGGGGACGGCGAGGAGGCCGCGGAGGUCGAGGACGAGGAGGUCGCGCUGCCGGAGGACCAGACGACGUCGCGCUCGUCGAGCUCCAGCUCCUGGACGCCGUGGGACUGGGAGCUGGCGUCGUCGGGUUGCUUGAGCAGGCCGAGGAAGCGGAGCGACGGGGAGGCAGUGGCCAUGCGGCGACGCGGCGCGGACAUGGCCGCCGACAGUGCCGGGCUCGGCUCAGCUCCUUGGUGGCGCCCGCGUGUGGAGCUGGAGCUGGAGCUGGAGGUCGCCACUGGCCCUGCGCUGCGCGUCGCGGGUUUCGGCCUCUGCUUUGGGAGCGUUAUUAUUGGCGGGCUGCGGUGCGGACGCCAGUGGUGGCGAUGGCGGGCGUGGGCAGUGAAUUAUUGGGGCGUGAUGGCGACGAGAGGGGUCGCCCGGCGCUGGCGACCCCGUGUCGAGCGCUCCUGUGCGCGCCGGGGGGUUUGUGGUGGUGUUUGCUGCGGCCGAUAUCCAGCUUUUCGAGGAUAUGGACCUGAAAUCUGGAAUCAUUCCAUCCGGGCGAGCCAGCCGCUUCCCAGGGAAAUUGGAAGCGCAGGGACCGGAGGAACACGACAUUGCUGGCGACGGCAGCAGCGAAAGAUUGACGCCGACCGAUCAGUAAAAACAGAGAAGCGAUCAUGCUCGGUGCUGUGGGUAAUACGUCAUUGGCCGGGCAGUUGGCGGUUUUAGUUUACGGUGUGCUUCCAUGAUAAACAACAUCAUCUCGGCAUGACUGUCGAUUAAACAUAGCCCAAUCAAUUCGCUGCCUAAACUAACACAGUGGCCGCACGAAUCACGGGGGCGAUUGACAGGAUACCUACCACAACAACAAAAAAUUCCAUCGGGGGGAGACGGUUGAGAUAAUAAUUACACUCCUGACGUCCCACUCGGCGCUGGAUUUAUAAACUACAGAAAAAAAAUGAGGUUGCGAUGAUUGUUUGUUUGGUACGCUGAGGGUCUAUGCCUCAUCACGAGUGUUUCAUGGGACUUGUGUGAUGAUGAUAAUUCGAAUGUUUUUUUUUUGGUAUGACCUGAC
RNAcentral lists this unclassified non-coding RNA (1457 nucleotides) under Zea mays. RNAcentral describes it as "misc RNA Zm00001eb075220". The record is from RNAcentral. Lineage: Eukaryota; Viridiplantae; Streptophyta; Magnoliopsida; Poales; Poaceae.